CUGCGGCAGCGACACUAUGUGUUGUUGGGUAGGGGAGCGUUCUGUAAGCCUGUGAAGGUGUGUCGUGAGGCAUGCUGGAGGUAUCAGAAGUGCGAAUGCUGACAUAAGUAACGAUAAAGCGGGUGAAAAGCCCGCUCGCCGGAAGACCAAGGGUUCCUGUCCAACGUUAAUCGGGGCAGGGUGAGUCGACCCCUAAGGCGAGGCCGAAAGGCGUAGUCGAUGGGAAACGGGUUAAUAUUCCCGUACUUGGUGUUACUGCGAAGGGGGGACGGAGAAGGCUAUGUUGGCCGGGCGACGGUUGUCCCGGUUUAAGCGUGUAGGUGUGUGUUCCAGGUAAAUCCGGUUCACUUUAACACUGAGGCGUGAUGACGAGGCACUACGGUGCUGAAGCAACAAAUGCCCUGCUUCCAGGAAAAGCCUCUAAGCAUCAGGUAACAUCAAAUCGUACCCCAAACCGACACAGGUGGUCAGGUAGAGAAUACCAAGGCGCUUGAGAGAACUCGGGUGAAGGAACUAGGCAAAAUGGUGCCGUAACUUCGGGAGAAGGCACGCUGACACGUAGGUGAAGUGAUUUACUCAUGGAGCUGAAGUCAGUCGAAGAUACCAGCUGGCUGCAACUGUUUAUUAAAAACACAGCACUGUGCAAACACGAAAGUGGACGUAUACGGUGUGACGCCUGCCCGGUGCCGGAAGGUUAAUUGAUGGGGUCAGCGCAAGCGAAGCUCCUGAUCGAAGCCCCGGUAAACGGCGGCCGUAACUAUAACGGUCCUAAGGUAGCGAAAUUCCUUGUCGGGUAAGUUCCGACCUGCACGAAUGGCGUAAUGAUGGCCAGGCUGUCUCCACCCGAGACUCAGUGAAAUUGAACUCGCUGUGAAGAUGCAGUGUACCCGCGGCAAGACGGAAAGACCCCGUGAACCUUUACUAUAGCUUGACACUGAACAUUGAGCCUUGAUGUGUAG
Molecule: ribosomal RNA, 959 nt
Filed under: Salmonella enterica
Lineage: Bacteria; Pseudomonadati; Pseudomonadota; Gammaproteobacteria; Enterobacterales; Enterobacteriaceae
Also listed under: 1 other name
Description: partial 23S ribosomal RNA
Rfam family: Bacterial large subunit ribosomal RNA
Source: RNAcentral